Long non-coding RNA from Rosa chinensis, 273 nucleotides. RefSeq lists it as uncharacterized. The transcript is spliced from 3 exons. Lineage: Eukaryota; Viridiplantae; Streptophyta; Magnoliopsida; Rosales; Rosaceae. The record is from RefSeq and is a predicted model, not a curated record.
AGGUUCAAAAAGAUAUGGCACGUACAUUACUUCGUCACAUAAGACCUUAUCAGCUGAAUUUCAAAAUCAGAGUUCGUGUUUUGAGAAUCUGGAGGCCAAAAAAUUUCAGAGCGAGAUAUAUGAUGGCCUUCACUAUGUCUUGGUCGAUGAGGAGGGAACUACAAUUCAUGCUAUGAUUAAAGAGUGUGACUACCUUCAUGUUGACAAAAAAAUGCAAGAAGGAAAGAUCUAUGACAUUUCAUUGUUCGCCACAAAAAACCACUUUGGGACAAA